This 527-nucleotide ribosomal RNA is filed under the name uncultured Entrophosporaceae. RNAcentral describes it as "SSU rRNA". It matches the Rfam family "Eukaryotic small subunit ribosomal RNA", at positions 569 to 1092 of the family's 1831-position model. Lineage: Eukaryota; Fungi; Glomeromycota; Glomeromycetes; Entrophosporales; Entrophosporaceae. The record is from RNAcentral.
AGCAGCCGCGGUAAUUCCAGCUCCAAUAGCGUAUAUUAAAGUUGUUGCAGUUAAAAAGCUCGUAGUUGAAUUUCGGGAUUGACACAUCGGUCGUGCCUUAAGGGGUAUGAACUGGUGUAGUCAAUUUCUCACCUUCUGGAGAACCGCAAUGCCCUUAAUUGGGUGUCGCGGGGAACCAGGACCUUUACUUUGAAAAAAUUAGAGUGUUUAAAGCAGGCAUUUUGCUUGAAUACAUUAGCAUGGAAUAAUAAAAUAGGACGGAUGAUUCUAUUUUGUUGGUUUCUAGGACCACCGUAAUGAUUAAUAGGGAUAGUUGGGGGCAUUAGUAUUCAAUUGUCAGAGGUGAAAUUCUUGGAUUUAUUGAAGACUAACUACUGCGAAAGCAUUUGCCAAGGAUGUUUUCAUUAAUCAAGAACGAAAGUUAGGGGAUCGAAGACGAUCAGAUACCGUCGUAGUCUUAACCAUAAACUAUGCCGACUAGGAAUCAGACGAUGUUAAUUUUUUAAUGACUCGUUUGGCACCUUACG